Molecule: ribosomal RNA, 403 nt
Filed under: uncultured bacterium
Lineage: Bacteria
Description: bacterial SSU rRNA
Rfam family: Bacterial small subunit ribosomal RNA
Source: RNAcentral
UAGGGAAUAUUAGAAAUGGACGCAAGUCUGAUCUAGCAACACCGCGUGUGCGAUGAAGGCCUUCGGGUUGUAAAGCACUUUUUGGAAGGAUUAGGAAGGAAUGUACUUCCAGGAUAAGUCUCGGCUAACUACGUGCCAGCAGCCGCGGUAACACGUAGGAGGCGAACGUUAUCCGGAUUUACUGGGCGUAAAGCGCGUGUAGGUGGUUCUGUAAGUAGGGCGUGAAAGCUCCUGGCUCAACUGGGAGAGGCCGAUCUAAACUGCAGAGCUAGAGGAUGGUAGAGGGAGGUGGAAUUCCGGGUGUAGCGGUGGAAUGCGCAGAUAUCCGGAGGAACACCAGUGGCGAAGGCGGCCUCCUGGACCAUUCCUGACACUCAGACGCGAAAGCUAGGGUAGCAAACGG